RNAcentral lists this ribosomal RNA (345 nucleotides) under Ashmunella todseni. RNAcentral's name for it is "partial 16S ribosomal RNA". Lineage: Eukaryota; Metazoa; Mollusca; Gastropoda; Stylommatophora; Polygyridae. The record is from RNAcentral.
UGAUUUGUUCAUAGCCGCAGUACACCGGAUUGUGCAAGGUAGCAUAAUCAAUUGGCUCAUAAUUGGAGUCUGGAAUGAAGGAAGAUUAAGAAUAACUGUCUCUAAGCAUUAUCAAAAUUAAUUAUAAAGUGCAAAUGCUUUUAAUAAAUAUUAGACGAGAAGACCCUAGAAAUUUUUUGUUGGGUACAUGAACAUUUGUUGGGGCGACAAAGUAACAAACUAUUAACUUACUUAUUUUGUUUGAAGUAUAUAUACAGGAAGAAUAAAUACUCUAGGGAUAACAGCAUAAUUUUAAGCAAGUUUGUGACCUCGAUGUUGGAUUAGGGAGAGUAUAGGUUUAGAAGG